Long non-coding RNA from Lathyrus oleraceus (garden pea), 1080 nucleotides. RefSeq lists it as uncharacterized. The record is from RefSeq and is a predicted model, not a curated record. The transcript is spliced from 2 exons. Lineage: Eukaryota; Viridiplantae; Streptophyta; Magnoliopsida; Fabales; Fabaceae.
AAAAGAAAACAAAAAGGAGUAAAUUAAAACUGCCUCCUCUCUCUCCCAGAGGCGUGAAAAAUAAGCAAGAAAGAGAAUCAUAAAGAUCUUCACACGUCUCACUGAUAUCUCUCUUCUAUCUCCACUCACCCAAUAAAAACAAAAGGUUACAAAAGAAAAAAGAAAAUUGAAUCACCUAUAACACGUUCCCUCACGUCUCUUCUCCAUUCCCCCCACGCGUCACGCUCACGUUUUCCUCAGAAUUCACAACCUACCUUCACUCUCUCUCACAAACAGUAACGAAAGAAGAAGAAAAAACUCUUCAAUUUUUCCUCAUCGUCGUCCUCCGCCCUGUUCAUGUUCCUUAAUCCACACCACACUUCUGUCCCCUUCACCGCCGCAGCCACACAACCACCUUCAUUCCAUUCUUCUUCCUUCUUAACCGAAGCAAACCCUCUACACCGCGACACCACCGCGAGCCCUUUUUCCAACACUGUCAAAACCCUUCCAAAACUUAUCACAACUUCCUCCGUCUCCACAAACCCUCGCGAUAUACGUUGUUGUGGUCUGAAUCCUCCGACGCUCACUUCACAACCGUGCUUAACCUACAUGUAAUCCACCGCUAAUAAUUUCCGGUUGCCGCGUCAACCUAUCCACACCGUCCAUUCUCAAUCGCCGAAGCCCACCAUCCACCACCAUCAUCGUCGAUGAAACAACCGCUCCGCAGCAAAGUCGUGUCGCCGCUGGAAAGCUCAUUGUGAUUGUGCCUCUCCAACACCCCAUCGUUAAUCAUCGUGAAGUCUACCGAAGAUCACCCAGUUACGCUCAUCGCCACCAAAUCAAAGAAGGAGUAACGAGCAAAAAGAAAGUUGAAGUUGGUUCAGAUUUUGAUUCUCAGUUUUACUGCCUUUGUUAUGUUGUUCUGUUUGCAUCAGUGAGAAUAGAAAGAAGAGGAUGAUUUUGAUGUGUAUUUACUUAUGUUAAGUUUCCUGCAUUUUUUAUCUUCAAAAAUUGAAAAGUCAAUGGAACUUGAUUAAUACAUUUACUGUUGCAUUUAAAUUUUUGUUUUGUUGUAUUAUAUGCAAUAUAGUUUAAUUUCAA